Long non-coding RNA from Nyctereutes procyonoides (raccoon dog), 878 nucleotides. RefSeq lists it as uncharacterized. The record is from RefSeq and is a predicted model, not a curated record. Lineage: Eukaryota; Metazoa; Chordata; Mammalia; Carnivora; Canidae. The transcript is spliced from 3 exons.
AAGAAAGCAGCACCAGGUUCUGAUAACAAAACGCAGGAGCCGGCGGUGCAGGGGAAAGCGGCUUUAGAGCAAACACUUUUGCAGCUUGCAAAAGCACAUGGCAGACCCGACCGGGGAAUCGGCCACACGUGGGUCUGGUCGUGCCCCUCUCUGUCAUCCUGACACACGCGGUGUCUUUUAGGGAAAGACGGACGGUGCAGGGAGUCGGUAUUAUCCUUGUUUUUAACCCUCGAUGUAACGGGGCGCUAGUAUACCUGACUUCACGGUACUACACGGCACAACAGACUGGAUCCAUGGCUGAUCUCCAAGCCCACCGCGCAGAGUGGCACAGCCCCAACGGUGGAACAGACCAUCUUAAGAAAAAUCAAAAGGAGCAAUUCUGAAGACAUCCAGACAAUGCAUGGGGAAAUUCUCGGAUAGGGAAGGGGGGAGAUUCAGCAUUCUAACACCUAACUGUGCUGUUUAAAUGUCAUGUUUCUGCCCCCUGACAGGGUCUCUUGCUCUCUCUGGGGGUCUUUCUCCCUUUGUAACUUGCAUUAGAUUCCAGAAGAGGACCCCAAAUGCUGCUGGGGUGGGGGUAGGGCUACAGACUGAGUGAGGGCUAAGCAUUAAAGCAUGUGGGUUAAGACAAUUACAUGUCAAUACUACUGCCUCCUGAAGCCCACUCUCACACUGCUGAACUUGAUUCUAAUAUUAGGAGAGGCUAAACCUCCCUCAAGCCCUGCUGAGACCCCCAGAUGCCAGUAAGACAUGCAGCGAUUCCCAACAUAACCAGACUACCAGCAGUAGCAGUGACAAAAAAGUGGAUUUUUAAAGAAACUUUAUGAUUUCAGGCACCUGGGUGGUGGCCACUGAAAUGGGCAGUGCUGGCUUUUAAG